UACACAGUCAGUAUUUUUAUUUGAUUAUUAUUAGCUAUUCAUACAUGCCUACAGUUUAUUGCAUACAAUACAAAGACGGUUCAUCUCUUUAUCUAGAAACCCAAAUUCUUUACAAGCAGAUCUGACCAGAAUUCUAUACAACAGUUUUUAUUUAAAACACACAUAAUGUUACUUAUACAAAUCACAACGAUAGAGAUACAGAGUUAAAGUGACAUGGUUUGAGUUCAAUUGACUUUGGCUACAUCUCAUAUUCUUAUAUGCUAGUGCACUAAAUGGAGAAUAGGGUAUUAUUUGCGACUGAGCCUUAGAAUGUGUAUAUUUCCCAUGUCGGUAUCAAUAGUUCCGAUACAUUCUAGUUCAGAAUGUAAAUGAGAACGUUAUUGUCAUGGAACGUUUGAUGCUGAAAUGGAUUUAACAGAACUCUGUUCAUCUAUCCACCUCAUUGUCGAACGUUGCUAUGGGCACGGCCAAACAACGGAAGUGAAGGAUUCGACUUCUGCUUUACUUACCACUGCAACGCGCUGGUGGCAAUCUUGCCAGAGUAAAUUAUUGGAAAGAGACAAUUUAUAGAGUAUAACAGUCAAGUAUAAGUGUAAUUGAGUACGUGUAAUUGUAUAUGUAUUUCAUUCAAGUAGGCUAGUUCUGUUGUGAUAAUACUGUUAGUUGUGUUGUGUCAGAGUUUAGGCCCGGGCCAUCCACCCAAUAACUAUAACGAUAACUAUAAACUAUAGGCUGCACAAUUAUAAAACGUCGCUGAGCAUCCAUACUAGAGGAAAGUGUAUCGUUUAUCGUUCUACAGUCCUACACCUGUCAAUCAACUGAUCAAACCAAUCUACUGCACGCUUCCUAUCAAUAAGGUGGUAACACAAGACCAUUCAUGAGGUCUCUAACACACAGAAUCUGGUUCAGACCAUUCAUGAGGUCUCUAACACACAGAAUCUGGUUCAGACCAUUCAUGAGGUCUCUAACACACAGAAUCUGGUUCAGACCAUUCAUGAGGUCUCUAACACACAUAAUCUGGUUCAGACCAUUCAUGAGGUCUCUAACACACAGAUACCAGUUCAGACCAUUCAUGAGGUCUCUAAGACACAGAAUCUGGUUCAGACCAUUCAUGAGGUCUCUAACACACAGAAUCUGGUUCAGACCAUUCAUGAGGUCUCUAACACACAGAAUCUGGUUCAGACCAUUCAUGAGGUCUCUAACACACAGAAUCUGGUUCAGACCAUUCAUGAGGUCUCUAACACACAGAAUCUGGUUCAGACCAUUCAUGAGGUCUCUAACACACAGAAUCUGGUUCAGACCAUUCAUGAAGUCUCUAACACACAUAAUCUGGUUCUGACCAUUCAUGAGGUCUCUAACACACAGAAUCUGGUUCAGACCAUUCAUGAGGUCUCUAACACACAGACACUGGUUCAGAUCAUUCAUGAGGUCUCUAACACACAGAAUCUGGUUCAGACCAUUCAUGAGGUCUCUAACACAAAGAUACUGGUUCAGAUCAUUCAUGAGGUCUCUAACACACAGAAUCUGGUUCAGACCAUUCAUGAGGUCUCUAACACACAGAAUCUGGUUCAGACCAUUCAUGAGGUCUCUAACACACAUAAUCUGGUUCAGACCAUUCAUGAGGUCUCUAACACACAGAUACUGGUUCAGACCAUUCAUGAGGUCUCUAACACACAGAUACUGGUUCAGACCAUUCAUGAGGUCUCUAACACACAGAAUCUGGUUCAGACCAUUCGGUGCUUUCAGGGUGUGUUCAUUGUCAUAGUGACAACUGCAAAUUAUAAUAUGUGAAUCAAGGCCUAAUGAAAAGCAAUAUAGUACCUCAAAUUUAAAUGUAGCAAUUCAACAACAAACACUGUUUAGCCUGCACAUAUUUUACAGCAUGUAUUUGCCCUCUUGCUCAAGUGGGUUGCAAGUGAUUUUUUGAGGUCUUCUUUUUUACAGUUCUCAUCUCUGUAUGUCCUCUGAAACUAUUUGCAAUGUAUCAGUGCAACAAUAUUAUCAUAACCGGCCAAAAGUGAUCACACGAUUUCCUCAACUUUCCCCAACAUGCGUUUUCUAUGCUGUAGGCCUGUUUUACAUUCGGCAAUUAGCAAGAGCAAGCCUGCUUCUUUCCCAUCGAACAGACUAUUAGGCCUAGUAUAAAAAAGGAUCAAACUACAUGUGCUAUAGCUGUUGUAAGUAAGAAGGUAAAUAUUAGCUAGAUAUUAGGCCAUAAAAUUAUUAUACCUGAUAUUAUUGUUAUCAAGUGAGUACACAAUUAUUGUCUAUAUGCUGUAAACUGCAGUGAUGUAGGCUAAUUAGAAUAACCGCUCACACAUCCUGUUUUGUUUCAUACCGAAAUAACUGCAUACAGUAGCGUACCAGCCUAGGCCUGAGUAUGCAGCCAUUUGGAUCAGUCUGGGUCUAUUCUUGACAGUUUAGAAGGUCCAGAAAGGUACAUUAUUAGGUCACUCAUACGGUGUAGGCCUAUUUAGUCAGGAUGUAGUCCGCUGGUUAACAGGAUAGGACAAUACGGGCUCCUCCUUUCCAACUCCCUGCCCGUUCUUAACGCUGUAGCCUAUUUCACAUCCAGCAAGCAGGCCGCAAGCGUGCAUCUCUCCUCCAAUAGGAUAUUAGUAGGCUAAAGAAAAUAAGUCGAAAUACCUGUCAAAUAAGUUUUUGUAGACUGGCUUUUCCUUGGACUCCACAAUAUUUAAAAGGAAUAGCCGUGGCAGCGGAGAGGAUAAGUGCGUAAUUGCUCAUCAGAGCAAUGAAGACAGACAGACAGGCUGGGGAUGUACUGUGACCUACAGCCUAAGUUAGAAGCUUAUGCAUAUCAGACCAUAAUUCAUGAGCUCAAUGUUAGGCAUAAUACUGCAGUCAAUUUAUCCAGUCAAUUUACACAGUGAAAGAAAAAGUGCUUUUCAGAUAGUGAAAUCAUAGUUAGCGCUCCCGAUUCUGCGCUGAGUGCGGUCCCUCCAAGUCCGUGGGUACAUUGUUUUUUAGGGACAAGAAAUGUACCCUACCUAGGCUACAACAACACAAUGCAAUGAAGUAUGUUAUUAUUGUUUUCAAGUGCGUAGAAAACUCUAGUCUGGGCCAUAAACUGCAGUGAAUACCCUAUGUCAUUUGAAUAACCGCUCAAAAGCCUGGCUUUUAAAAUACAUAUUAAUUUGGAAAUAAAUGAAACUAACAUGCCUGACUGGACAACCAUUUGGAUCUGUUAUGUUUUUGUUAUGAGCAGUUCAGCCUACAAGGUCCAGGCACAUCAGCAGGACAAUAACACACGGUGUAUUUUGUCAUGAUUUCUCCGCUAACAGAAACAUGCUAAUGCAGGAGUUCCUAGUGGCGCGCAUAUGAAUUAUGAUAAUGCGCAAGCGCGGAGAAACAUGUAUCCAUAGUUUCCGCGUUUGGCGUCAUAUUUUAAAAGCGUUCGAAAAUGAGGUGGAUAACUCCCUAUACAAACAUUUAGAUAAUCAAUUUCACAUUCACAGCUGUUCUUCUACUGUACACUGAAGUUUCUCUUAGAUACAGAUCUAGGAUCAGCUUACCCAUCCUCCAAUCGUAACCUUAACUAUUAGCGGGAAAACUUAACUUAACUUAACUAGCGGGAAAACCACAAAACUGCUCUUAGAUCAUUGUCUAGGAUUCAACUUCAUCCCCAAGUCGAGCUGUAUGUAUACUUAGUUUAGAUGUGCUAUUUAAUGGUGCAGUGUCCCUUUUUAUUUGCUAUCCGUGGCACAUUGAAACAACGCAAAAGAAAGUAUUUUCAGUGUCUGUCUUUCUCCAUGCCUUUCUUCGUUAGUUUAAAACCCAUACUUUAAAAAAAAUGUUAGGACUAUAUCCUCUGCAAGUGUGGUCUCAAUAUCAUUUUUCCCUGGGGGCCAUAUUACUUAAAUCGGCUCAGGGGCCACUUUUGGAUCAUGGGCCUGUAGUUUAAGACCCCUGAUCUACAAGCACUGAGCAGAUACAGUAAGCAUUGUGAAUAACGUUAGAUGGAGGAACUUAGGCAUCUGUGCAGAUGUACAAAGCUACUUCAUAUAGUACACCACAAGCAGAGGCUUCAGUACAGAAUAAAACUUGUCUAAUAUUGUGAUUGAUGACUACAUUUCCCACAAUUCAUCUUGCGCUGAAAACUUGCCCUUGAAAAUAAGUCAACCCACUACAUCAUACUCAAAUCUCACUGACCCUCAUACAGAGUAGCUGUUGCUUAUGUAAAACUAUGUCGUGUUUCAUUUGAUAUGUUUAUAUUUAUAUAUAUAUAUAGUGUUUUUUAUUAUUCUCUUAAGACAUACAUUUUAAAACUUGAGGUGGUGAAACUGUAAAGUUGGGUUUUCUUUGGUUACCAGGUUGUUUUUCUUGUUGUUGUUUACAAGUGGAGAAAAGGUGGGAUCCUACACCUUUGUUGUGUGUGUGCGUGUGUUUGUGUGCGAUCCUACGCAGUUUCACACGUGGCAUUUCAGGGACGCAUCAUCCCACCGCCUCCCCAACACCCCCGCGCUCUGUGGUAAGAAUCUACCGGAAUGGCGUCUGUUUGUGUUCUAGAUUUAGCAUUGUCCAGGGCAACCAGCUGAACCUUCCCAUAAUUGGAGUUGGUUGCUAUGGGUAUAUAUUUCCAUCUUUUUAGUCACAGUGUGCAUCCCAAACGGCACCCUAUCCUCUAUAUAGUGCACUACUUUAGACCAGAGCUCUAUGGGCCCAGGUCAAAAGUAGUGCACUACGUAGUGAACAGGGUGCCAUGUUGGACGUGGCCUGUAACUUUUCUCAGAUGUACUCCUGUCUAGGUUAUGUAUGAGCCACGUUAAAUAAAUAAUUGAGGGAAUAACUUAAUAAAAACGUGACACCCACCUUGACACAAGCUGACUUGUGCUCCUCAUCCUCAACCAACCCCAUUUAGUUUACCCCAGCAAGGUCAUAGCCAUGUCUUGUAGUGUUGUACUGCUCACUGCUAAGUACUGUAAUACUGAAGCAUAACAUUAAUGAUUGAUUGGUUGAUUGAUUGAGUGGCUAACUAAGUGAUUGGGGGGGAGGGAGGGGGGGGGGGGUGUAUUCUAUAGCCUCAUUCCUCUCCCCCUUCAGUAUCCAUAGAUCUGACCGAAGCUAAAACAUCAUCAUACUGCCUAUCCACCUACCAAGUCAUUUCAGAUCUGUGAAUACAGGAAGAAAGAUAGAAAACAUUUGAGACACAAUUCUGUUGAGUGAUAUUGAGUCAGAAUUUUGGGGGGUGCUAAAAUCACUCCAUACACUCCCAUCCUUCCAGACCAAACUAGACUCCGUUUCCUCAAAAGCCUUAUCCCUUGACCCAUGACCCCUCUCAGUCGGACCACUCCCCGUUGUCCUCCCCGCCGGAGUCAGACUCUGAUUCGCUGUACUCGACGGCGAUGCGACGUGAGAGAAUGGUGGCCACGUCGUUUCCUACGGGCUCUCUCUUCGCUUCCUGCUCUCUCUGCUCCUGUACCUUCCUCAAUUGGAUACC
This 5458-nucleotide long non-coding RNA is filed under the name Salmo salar (Atlantic salmon). RNAcentral describes it as "lncRNA (ENSSSAG00000105727.1)". Lineage: Eukaryota; Metazoa; Chordata; Actinopteri; Salmoniformes; Salmonidae. The record is from RNAcentral.